Molecule: long non-coding RNA, 535 nt
Organism: Passer domesticus (house sparrow)
Lineage: Eukaryota; Metazoa; Chordata; Aves; Passeriformes; Passeridae
Exons: 3
Source: RefSeq, a predicted model, not a curated record
UGGUUGCACGCGGGGAAAAAAAAAAUAAAAUGAGAAAAAAAAAAUCAAUAAGCUCGUGGAGUUUAUGUUUUCAGAGGUACCUGCUGGUCGCUGGCUCCUCUGGGCUGGGCAGCUCCCAGCCCUACACAUUCAGGAGAGAUGGAACACCUUUGGUUCCCACAGCAAGGCACAGAUCUGGAAUUACUCCAGCAGGAAGAAAGAGAAAGCCAGAAAGCUGGAGGGGAAGAAAAUGUGCAAGGAAAGGAGGGAGAAAGCAGAAGAUGGUGCCUGAGCCCUUUACAGUGCUCACUCCACUCCCAGCACAGCCAUCAUCCUUGUGGGACAGGGUCACCCCUUGCACCCCUUGUGCUUCCUCCACCAAACCCAGGGCAGCCUCAGCCAACACCCUCAACAAUGAAGGGUGUGCUUCGUCUCUUUAAUUGGAAUGAGGAUUAAUCCGAUAUUGCGUGAGGAACGAUUUUGUGCAACAGGACACCAAAAACACAGGGAAGAGUGGCCAGUGUGACAAAAAUGACUCGAUUUAACCAAAUAUCCC